GGGGGAUAACUACUGGAAACGGUAGCUAAUACCGCAUAACGUCGCAAGACCAAAGAGGGGGACCUUCGGGCCUCUUGCCAUCGGAUGUGCCCAGAUGGGAUUAGCUUGUUGGUGGGGUAACGGCUCACCAAGGCGACGAUCCCUAGCUGGUCUGAGAGGAUGACCAGCCACACUGGAACUGAGACACGGUCCAGACUCCUACGGGAGGCAGCAGUGGGGAAUAUUGCACAAUGGGCGCAAGCCUGAUGCAGCCAUGCCGCGUGUAUGAAGAAGGCCUUCGGGUUGUAAAGUACUUUCAGCGGGG
RNAcentral lists this ribosomal RNA (304 nucleotides) under Escherichia coli. RNAcentral describes it as "bacterial SSU rRNA". It matches the Rfam family "Bacterial small subunit ribosomal RNA", at positions 138 to 444 of the family's 1533-position model. Lineage: Bacteria; Pseudomonadati; Pseudomonadota; Gammaproteobacteria; Enterobacterales; Enterobacteriaceae. The record is from RNAcentral.